RNAcentral lists this long non-coding RNA (1176 nucleotides) under Phasianus colchicus (ring-necked pheasant). Its description in RNAcentral is "lncRNA (ENSPCLG00000019199.1)". The record is from RNAcentral. Lineage: Eukaryota; Metazoa; Chordata; Aves; Galliformes; Phasianidae.
AGGAGAGGAGAGGAGAGGAGAGGAGAGGAGAGGAGAGGAGACAAAAGAAAAAGAAAAGAAAAGAAGAGAAAAGAAAAGAAAAGAAAAGAAAAGAAAAGAAGAGAAAAGAAAAGAAGAGAAAAGAAAAGAAAAGAAAAGAAAAGAAAAGAAAAGAAAAGAAAAGAAAAGAAAAGAAAAGAAAAGAAAACUGUUUGUUUUUUCUGAAUCAAGGGAUUUCUUAUCUGAAAUCUGGAACAGCAAAGGAAUCUAAGACAAAUUAGAGUUCUGCCAAAUUUAAUAGAGUCCAGAGACAUUUCCUGGAAGACAAUAUCUGUUUCAGCUGGAAAUACAAAUUCGUCUCAAUGAGCAGCAGGAACACAAAGUGUCACGUGGGUAUGAGAUGGAUUCUCACAAGGGCAGAUACACAAACACCAGCACAAUACUGAGGCUACAGAUUUCACAUUAAACCAAUCCCAAAACAGGUGAAAGAGUAGUGGGAAAGAGGAAUGGGAACGGGCAUCUGGUUCUUCUCAGAAAUUAUAUUGACUCUCAGUUUAUGCAGGCAAAGACAGGACAGAGGCUGUGCUCCAGUCUCACCUCAUUGCAGUCCUGGAAAUGAGCAUGCAUGCCUCAUGGUGCUCUUCCAGCAGACCAUCUGCCUUCCAUGUUUGCUAUGCAGGCUGCCAGUGAUUUUGGUUGGUUGUUGUGUCAUAGCUUCCAGGGAUUCCCAGCACAUUCUUAGGUGCCAUGAGAACAAAAAGGGAAAUGAUUUGUGUAAAUGGCAGUGGAUGCAGGAGGGAGGUGUACAGCUCAGAAGGGCAAUCCUUCUGGAGAGACCAGCAGAAAGGACACAGGAUCACAGAGCACCCACCUUGAGGUCCUGAUCUGCCACAGCUUCUGUGCUUCAAGUUGUGCAGCCAUUUCUUUUGUUGCCCUUUCCAACAAUUAAACAGAUAAGCAGUUGUGAGUGUGAGUCGCUGUGAGUUCACUACAGUGAAGAAGUGACAUGGAGCCAAAAGAGGUAACAGGAAGCCUGGAGACAGUUGUCCACAUUUCUUAAAGUGUCUUUGCUGUUAAGAAUCUUAUGCUUCCCAAGUGACAGCUAUGUUUUAUUAAUGGUGUGUUUAACAACUGUCUCCAGUGAAUAUCCACAAGAGAUCUUAUGGCAAUGGGAAGUGAUAAUUAGUAAAAUAAAAU